RNAcentral lists this ribosomal RNA (253 nucleotides) under uncultured bacterium. Its description in RNAcentral is "partial 16S ribosomal RNA". It matches the Rfam family "Bacterial small subunit ribosomal RNA", at positions 524 to 776 of the family's 1533-position model. The record is from RNAcentral.
UACGGAGGGUGCAAGCGUUAUCCGGAUUUACUGGGUUUAAAGGGUGCGUAGGUGGGUCUGUAAGUCAGUGGUGAAAUCUCCGAGCUUAACUCGGAGACUGCCAUUGAUACUACAGGUCUUGAAUUAUCUGGAGGUAAGCGGAAUAUGUCAUGUAGCGGUGAAAUGCUUAGAUAUGACAUAGAACACCAAUUGCGAAGGCAGCUUACUACGGAUCGAUUGACACUGAGGCACGAAAGCGUGGGGAUCAAACAGG